Caenorhabditis elegans is the source of this 128-nucleotide small nucleolar RNA. The record is from Ensembl. Lineage: Eukaryota; Metazoa; Nematoda; Chromadorea; Rhabditida; Rhabditidae.
AAUCAGAUGAUGAUGAUGAGGAUUAUUGCCAAGAAGAGGAAGUGAAGCGAAAUCCGGCAGAAAAGGUCCCGCCGAAAAGAAAACGAGUUGUGUUUGUGGAACCUCCAGAGGUGAAGCCGCCGGAGCCG